GAUGAACGCUGGCGGCGUGCCUAAUACAUGCAAGUCGAGCGAACAGACGAGGAGCUUGCUCCUCUGACGUUAGCGGCGGACGGGUGAGUAAAACGUGGAUAACCUACCUAUAAGACUGGGAUAACUUCGGGAAACCGGAGCUAAUACCGGAUAAUAUAUUGAACCGCAUGGUUCACUAGUGAAAGACGGUUUUGCUGUCACUUAUAGAUGGAUCCGCGCCGCAUUAGCUAGUUGGUAAGGUAACGGCUUACCAAGGCAACGAUGCGUAGCCGACCUGAGAGGGUGAUCGGCCACACUGGAACUGAGACACGGUCCAGACUCCUACGGGAGGCAGCAGUAGGGAAUCUUCCGCAAUGGGCGAAAGCUUGACGGAGCAACGCCGCGUGAGUGAUGAAGGUCUUCGGAUCGUAAAACUCUGUUAUUAGGGAAGAACAAAUGUGUAAGUAACUAUGCACGUCUUGACGGUACCUAAUCAGAAAGCCACGGCUAACUACGUG
RNAcentral lists this ribosomal RNA (497 nucleotides) under uncultured bacterium. Its description in RNAcentral is "partial 16S ribosomal RNA". It matches the Rfam family "Bacterial small subunit ribosomal RNA", at positions 28 to 507 of the family's 1533-position model. The record is from RNAcentral.